GACGAACGCUGGCGGCGUGCUUAACACAUGCAAGUCGAACGGAAAGGCCCGCUUGCGGGUACUCGAGUGGCGAACGGGUGAGUAACACGUGAGUAACCUGCCCUUAACUCUGGGAUAAGCCUGGGAAACUGGGUCUAAUACCGGAUAUGACUCCUCAUCGCAUGGUGGGGGGUGGAAAGCUUUAUUGUGGUUUUGGAUGGACUCGCGGCCUAUCAGCUUGUUGGUGAGGUAAUGGCUCACCAAGGCGACGACGGGUAGCCGGCCUGAGAGGGUGACCGGCCACACUGGGACUGAGACACGGCCCAGACUCCUACGGGAGGCAGCAGUAGGGAAGAAGCGAAAGUGACGGUACCUGCAGAAGAAGCGCCGGCUAACUACGUGCCAGCAGCCGCGGUAAUACGUAGGGCGCAAGCGUUAUCCGGAAUUAUUGGGCGUAAAGAGCUCGUAGGCGGUUUGUCGCGUCUGCCGUGAAAGUCCGGGGCUCAACUCCGGAUCUGCGGUGGGUACGGGCAGACUAGAGUGAUGUAGGGGAGACUGGAAUUCCUGGUGUAGCGGUGAAAUGCGCAGAUAUCAGGAGGAACACCGAUGGCGAAGGCAGGUCUCUGGGCAUUAACUGACGCUGAGGAGCGAAAGCAUGGGGAGCGAACAGGAUUAGAUACCCUGGUAGUCCAUGCCGUAAACGUUGGGCACUAGUGUGGGGGACAUUCCACGUUUUCCGCGCCGUAGCUAACGCAUUAAGUGCCCCGCCUGGGGAGUACGGCCGCAAGGCUAAA
This 773-nucleotide ribosomal RNA is filed under the name uncultured bacterium. Its description in RNAcentral is "bacterial SSU rRNA". It matches the Rfam family "Bacterial small subunit ribosomal RNA", at positions 28 to 898 of the family's 1533-position model. The record is from RNAcentral.